UUGGUUUUUCUUUUCUACAUAGUAAGAUGACUCCUCAUUCGCUCACUGAAACGACAAAUGAGUGUUCGAUAAUGGUCAAACUCGCCAGAAAUGGGGAGACCGUUGACUUUGGACAGCUUCAUGGGCCGGCUGGUGCACUUCUACUGAGCUCGCUUGCAGGUGCUAGUUUCAAAUUCAUGUCUGCACUUUCUGUUCUCUCGAGAUUUCUGCUAUGUAACGAUAUGCUCAGUCAGUGAGUGAGUUCAAUCGAAGCUAAGCUCGAAACCAACGACUCUGGUCGCCUUCCGUCCAAGUUCGUCUGCUGCAGGUUUGCCAAACCGUUCCUUCAACUGGGCUUUGUUCAAGAUAUGCUUUUGAUUUCGCACGCAUGCUUGAGAGUUAGUGCUUGAGUGAAUCAAAGAUAGGAAGAAGAAGGAGAGGGAAGAAGAAACAGUGAGAAUUAGGGAGAGUCCAUGGUUAACCGUCUUGUUCUGUCUACACCAUUAUCCAUAACUGUUGAUUAGACGAAUUAGUGAUGUUCAUCAACUCAAGAGUUUCGAGGGUCCUUGUCGAACAUCAUAUACUGAAUAGUAGGUACUUCUUUGGGGUUAAUUUACAAUUUUCCUUGAUGCUGUUGUUGGUAAUUAGGUGACAAGGCAAGCUGUAAUUUGUUCAAGUCUUGCAUAAAACAGCAUAUCUUAAUGAAGGUUGCCAAUGGAAAAUGUGUUGAGCCAUUGACACCAAACAUGGGUGUUAAGGAGCCAUCAAUUGCUCACAGGACAGAGAAUCGAAUAGCAAUGGAGUUCCAAACCAGUUGCUGUCUCACUCUCAGCUAAGCUCAGUUGCAGAUGCUCCUCUUUUCUUAAUGACUUCACCUACUUGGAAGCAUCUAUUCACGCUCCAAACUCUUAUCUCAGUAGUCUCUUCAGCUAGUUUCUAUUAGAUAAACAGCUUGUGAUGGAAGAUGCCU
RNAcentral lists this long non-coding RNA (949 nucleotides) under Eucalyptus grandis. Its description in RNAcentral is "long non-coding RNA (EGRA_LNC003310)". The record is from RNAcentral. Lineage: Eukaryota; Viridiplantae; Streptophyta; Magnoliopsida; Myrtales; Myrtaceae.